CAUGAUGUCCAUAUCCACUCUUUCUCGUAGAAUCGAACCUCCUUCUUGACAUAUGUUGCUGCUCGGCAGAGAACAUCCUCGCCAAGAUAAACACGGUAUGCAAGUUCAACAAGUAUGGAUUUGAAAAACCAUAUUGAAUUUGAUAAGAUAAACCGUCUAGACAAGAUAGCAUCGUUCUUAACCCACUGCAAGAAUACAUACUAUAUAUGACACAUCAAUCUCCC
This 224-nucleotide long non-coding RNA is filed under the name Setaria viridis. RNAcentral's name for it is "long non-coding RNA (SVIR_LNC006866)". Lineage: Eukaryota; Viridiplantae; Streptophyta; Magnoliopsida; Poales; Poaceae. The record is from RNAcentral.